This 21813-nucleotide long non-coding RNA is filed under the name Lathyrus oleraceus (garden pea). RNAcentral's name for it is "Pisum sativum (pea) long non-coding RNA (PSAT_LNC029370)". The record is from RNAcentral. Lineage: Eukaryota; Viridiplantae; Streptophyta; Magnoliopsida; Fabales; Fabaceae.
CUCAUGUCUCUCUCAUCACUCUCCCUCAUGUUUCCUAUCUCUCUCACGUUUCCUCUCUCACACACAUUACCCUCAUUUCCAUCAUCACACUCCAUCAACGUCUCUCUGCUACAAAAGAAAGCAAAUGAAAAGAAAAAGACCGACUGCUCUCUCUCUCAAAAAGAAGAAAAAGAAAACUAAAAAGAGAGGACAAUAAAAAGAAUCCUCACUCACUUUCCUCAACAACUCCCUCGCCACUACAACCGCCGGAAAACCCAACCUCCACAACAUCACUCCACUACAUCCAUACAACCUUCACGCACAGUUCCAUAUUCAAACCUUCACCACCCUCACAACCACCUCCUUUGCUCACUUCCCUCCCUCCACCUUCCAUUGACGUCACGAAUUCCAUCACCUUCUUCAACGUCUUCUCCCCACUCAUCCACCACCGCAAACCGUAAAUCACCUUCACCGGUGACGAAACCUCUUCACUUCGUCGUCGUCCCCAAAUCACCUCCUUCUCCACCUCCGUCACCUUCGCAACUCACAACCACCAUUUUUCACAAAUCGAACCACCACACCACACGCCAGCGAGCGCUCAAAGCCUUCAAACAAUCCCUCGCCACGUCUCCUUCCGCGCCGCCGCGAUUUCUGAGCGUCGCCGAGUCAUCGCGCCGCCGUCAUCUUCCGAUGAAGCUUAACCGUCCGAAUCCACAAACCCAACCUUCCUCAACCAAUAACGACGGCCUCGCAUCUCCCAUUUUUUAGUAGAGAGUGCUGCGAAGGGUUUUUUAUUAAAUCAGUUCGAGAUCGUGGUACAUGAUGGUGUAAACGGAACACGGAGCAGCCACGAAGCAUCGACCGACACACAGCAGUAGCGAGUUCAACACAACACGAUAACAGUCGCCAGCGGUAACGAAUCGAUACUUACCAUAUUGUUCAAUGUUAAUUUUUUUUAUACAUAAAUAAUUGGAUUAUAUUUCUCAUUCAUCGUGUAUUUCAGUAUUGGUUGAAUGGCGGGGUUACCGCGAUUAUUUUCUACUGCGGUUGUUGCCAAUUUUCUUCCACAUAUGUGUUGGAUUGUUAUCAGAAAGCGUUGAAUGGUCUUAGUUUACAUUACAUCCCGACUAUUGUAUGAUUUGAGUUCAUUGCAUUAUGUUUAGAUUUUAAAAUAUGUUUCAUGUGUUUGAAAGUUUGUAAUGAUAUGGUAUGUAUCGUGCUACUGCUAAUUGAUUGUGGCGUCGAAGUCGGAUAUUGCGUGAUGAACGUUUGAAACCGUCAUUUAUACAUGUUUAGAGGGCGCGGCGUUUUUAUUGAUCAUAUUAUACUUUAUUUCAUAUGGCGAUGCGGUAUUUUGAGGUUACCACCAUGUAUUUCUCCUGCUAUUGAUGCUAGCAGGACGUGACUGGGUUUAAUCCAUAACCUCCCAUGUAGGAUUUUGCAUGCUUUGUAGGAAUUUAUGGAUUUUGAAUAAGUUUUGUUUUCUUAUGGAAGCAAUUUAGGUUAGUUGUUAUAGCAGGGUAGGUUAUAUGUUAAUCCUGUUCUUAAUAAUCAUUACUAAAACGUUAAAGUAGCAAUGGCAAAUUUAUGGAUUUUGAAUAAGUUUUGUUUUCUUAUGGAAGCAAUUUAGGUUAGUUGUUAUAGCAGGGUAGGUUAUAUGUUAAUCCUGUUCUUAAUAAUCAUUACUAAAACGUUAAAGUAGCAAUGGCAAAAUAACAAUGAUUGGAAACGUCUCAAGGUGAUAAGCGGCGGAUGCGGUGUGUACUGUUCCAACUUUAUUUAUUUUACAUAUUACAUUUAUGCACUUUUGAGUUUUCUUAUAUAUGACAAAUAGUAAACAAUAUUGUAAAUAAAUUUGUAAAUAAAUAAUAUGAUAAAAAAUUUGUAUUACCAAUAUUUAAUUUCAUUAACAAAACACAAAUUUAAAACCUCGAUCCAAUAUCGAGUAUUGUCAUUCAAAAUUAAAUAAACAUCCAAUCACAAUCAAAUACCAUUUCAUUUGGGAAAUGAAAAGGGGGAUGACUUUGAGUUUUCAAUUCCUCUCCUAAAUUAUUUGAAUACGAGUUCCCUUACUCGGUUAGUCAGAUAGUCGUUAUUUCUAAUCCACCUAAGCACAAAACAAAUCGAAUCAUUUUAUAAAAAGAAACAAAGAGGGAGAUGACUUUGAGUCUUCAAUUUUUCUCCUCGAUUAUUUGAAUACAAGUUCUCUUACUUGGUUAGUCAAAUGAUUGUCGUUCCUCUACCAAUUUCCAAACCCCGAUUAAAUUAAAACACUUUCAUAAUAAGCUAAAUGAAAAGGGAGAUGACUUUGAGUUUUCAACUUCUCUCCUCAAUUGUUUGAAUACGAGUUCUCUUGCUCGGCCAAUCGAAUAAUUGUCAUUUUCCGCCCACUUAUACCGUAGAUCAAAUCAUUUCCAUAACAAACUAUACGAAAAGGGAGAUGAUCUUGAAUUUUCAAUUCCUCUUCUCAAAUGCUUGGAUAUGAGUUGUCUUACUCAGCCAUUCGAAUACUUGUCGUUCAUUCUAAAACAUAUCAACCAUACAUAAACCUAUUUUCAUAAAUACUCAGAUGAAACAGAAAGCGGUCUAGAGCCUUAUAUUCCUUUUCCCGAUUAUUAGGAUACGAGUUGUCUUACUCGAUUAUCCGAGUAUUCGUCAUCCAUUCAAAACACCUUAAUUAUUAUCAAAUACUUUUUAUAAUUAAGGAUGAAAAAAAGGGUGGUCUAGAGUCUUUUAUUCCCUUUCCCGACUGUUAGGAUACAAGUUGUCUUACUCAACUAUCCGAGUAAUCGUCAUCCAACCAAAAAUAUCUUAACCUAUCAAGUUUAUCCUUUCUCUCCCUCGUGUGAUCGAAACCAGUCAAACAAAACAUCCAACAUAGUAAUCCAACUUGUCACCCUCGUGUGAUCAAAACUCUUUUCAGAAAGAACACUAUUUAAUCCUUUCUAAUGCGCAUAACAAACCAAUGCUUAAGCCUCCGCCGAGAGUAGACAAGCCAACGUUUAGCCUUUAGAACGGGAUCUAAACAGUUGUUCAUUAAAAAACACCAACCAACCAUAGUUCUCCGAACUACGAAUGCUCUGAUUUCCUUAUUAUACCAUAAGGAUACGUAGGCAGGAGAUUGUUGUAUCUUCGCGAGCACACUAAUAAAAAACCUCCCCUUUUCGAGGUUCUCAUCCAUUUCUAUUUUUUUAAUUUUAUAACUCAAAGAUAACAAACAAACAUAAAUUAACACCCGAAACGCACAUUAGAACUAAAAGGUUCCCGUUGAGUACAACGGACGUAAGGGGUAUUAAUACCUUCCCCUUACGUAAUCCACUCCCGAACCCGAAUAUGGUUGUGACGACCAUUAUUCCGUUUCCUAAAAGGUUUUAUCGAUAUUUUCCUAUUCCUUCAUUGGGAUAAAUAAAGUUCGGUGGCGACUCUGUUCGAACAUAAUUUUUUCCGCGAUCAUCGCGAGGAACCGUAUUUUUUGAGAUGCGACAGAUGGUGACUCUGCUGGGGACAUUUGCUCCAAGCAAAAGAGAGUGAAGCCUAAUUUAGUUCAGUUUCUGUAUUAUGUGUUAAAUCUUGUUUGUUUGAUUGUUAUUUUUGUUCUAUUAUUAUUAUUCUGUCAUAACUAUUGUAUUGUGAUUUAUUGAUUAUGUCUUAUUUGGGGCUUUCUGUUAAUGGUGCUUUAUGAGAUAGACUCUCUACCCGAGUCUGAGAAAAACCAUAAGACUAAGUUGGUGGUUGCGUAGUGGAUGCCCACAAGGAGUCUUCCUUGUUGGGAAGAAACGAAGACCCCGCCUAGAGGAGAUUCUCUUGAGAUAUUAUUGCCCGACGAGUCUUCGUCACGAUGAUAGUAUUCUCAAGUUGGAUCAAUGACUCUAGGGACCUUUUAACCCACUCUAUCCGGCGGUUAUGUAGUAUUAACCUACAAAGUUUCAAACUUGUUGGGUUAAUACGAAGGCCCCAAUCAGAUGAGAUCUCUUGGACGUAUUACUAUCUUACAGUAACAUUUCCAACCUCUAUCUAGACUCUGAGAACCUUGUUAGAACCCUGGACUCGAGAGUCAUGUAGUAGAAUCCUCAUGGAGUUUUCCUUGUUGGGAUAAUACGAAGACCUCACCUAGACGAGAUCUUCUUAAGGAUAUUAUUGUCCGACCUGGACUCGAGAGUCAUGUAGUAGAAUCCUCAUGGAGUUUUCCUUGUUGGGAUAAUACGAAGACCUCACCUAGACGAGAUCUUCUUAAGGAUAUUAUUGUCCGACGAGUCUUCGUCACGGCAGUGAUGUCCUCAAGAAAUAUCCAUGACUCUGGGAACCUACCAACUGUAGAGCCUGCCCAUGGGGUUACAUUAAUCAGAUAUACCUGUCAUUUACCCGUUAUUCUGAUCUAUCUGAAAACACUUUGAACCUAUGAUCCUGAACAUGUCACUACACUCAUACACAUAUCAUUACAUCUGCAUUCAUCGUGCGUUGCAUAUCACCUUUCACAAAAAAUAUAUACCAAAAAAACUCAUCCGUCCUUUAUCUAAAACCCGUAGUUAAAUUCCCGACACUCAUAUCAGACUUGAAUUAGCUCUCGAAAGAUCAUGGAUCCGUUGGAGCAAAGCCAUAUUGCAUUAAGAGGAGAUGUUGACUCGAUGAAAAACCAGAUAAACCAACUUGUGGAGGAUGUGAUAGCUUUAGAAAAGAGGGAGGACAACAUUCAGCAGACUGCAGACGUAGAGAAUGUUAUUUCAGCUCCAGUAAAUGGUCCUACCCAACCUUAGCUUGUGCGAACCCCAGUUGAUAACUCUAUUGUACAAGAACGUCAUGUUGUUCAAGAUUCCUCACGUCAUGAUGUUGUUGAGUAUCACAGUUUUGCAUUCUCCGUGCCAGAUUCCCAUGGAACAAGCAUAGGGGUUAAUGCUGAACAACCACAAGAUGAUGAGAUUGCUAAAAGAUGUUGCGUGCUAGAGAAAAGACUCAAGGCCAUAGAAGGACAAGAUACUCUUGAACUGAAUGCUUUAGACAUGUGUUUGGUACCUAAAAAGAUGUUGCGUGCUAGAGAAAAGACUCAAGGCCAUAGAAGGACAAGAUACUCUUGAACUGAAUGCUUUAGACAUGUGUUUGGUACCUGGCCUGGUUAUACCCGCAAAAUUCAAAGCACCAGAAUGUGAGAAGUACAAAGGGGAUGGCUGUCUAAAGCACCAUUUGGUGAUGUUUUGUCAAAAAAUGACCUCUCAUGCCCACGAUGAUAAGUUGAUGAUUCACUGUUUCCAGGACAGUUUGACUGGGGCAUCAUUAAGUUGGUACAUGAAGUUAGAAAGGAAUCAUGUUCAAUCAUGGUUAGACCUAGCUAACACAUUCUUGAAGCAAUACAAAUAUAAUAUGGACAUAGCUCCCGACCGCAUGCAGCUAAGAGCCUUAUCUCAGGAAGACAAUGAAUCCUUUAGAGGGUAUGCCCAAAGAUGGAGAGAGUUAGCGGCUGACGUUGAACCACCACUCUUAGACAAAGAAUUGAUGGAAUUAUUCAGGGACACCCUGCAAAGUCCAUACUGUGAAAGGAUGAUUAGCAGCACAGCAUCAGACUUCGCUCACUUAGUGACAAUUGGAGAACGCGUCGAGAGUGUCUUAAAAAGUGGAAGAAUCCAAAGUGCCUCGAGCAACCAAGCUAGCGAGACAGAAUCCCUCAGCAAUUCCCAAAAGGAAGAGGAUGAUGAAAUAAAUGCAGUCAUGACAGGUGUUGGGUAUUCUCACGAUGCACCAGCCAAAUCUUAUGGUUCUUCACCUUCUCAGCAAUCACCAUUUCCAACACCAUGUUAUCCUUAUAGGCAACCGACAAGACCUAGAGCACCAUUCAAGCAACCAUGGACUGUUCCUCCUACAAAUCAAAGAUCUCGUGGUCAAGGAUAUCAGAAUCAGCAUCUGAACCAGCAUAGGCCUCGAAACAAUCUGGAAAGAAGGAAUGCUCCUCUCGAUCCAAUUCCUAUGUCAUACAGUAAACUUCUGCCUUAUCUGAUUCAAAGCUCGCUGGUGGAGCCCAAGUCUCUCAGGCCAUUGUCAGAACCAUACCCACCUGGAUAUGAUCCUGAUGUGCAAUGUGGAUAUCAUGCCGGAACAAUAGGGCAUUCAACUGAAGACUGCAAUGCUUUCAAGGCUAAAGUGCAACAAUUGAUCGACAAAAGGUACAUAUCCUUUUCAGAAGGAAGCCUGUUGGUGCACGUUAACCUCUCGUCAUAAUGAGUUCAAAGAUUUCAUAGAGUAUCUCCUAAUGCCAGUAGUUCAGACAGGAAGACAUCCUCAACACUGGCAAUCGUUGGACUGAUUUGCUUCUAUUUUUGCAUUUGUAGUUUCUUUGUUGUUAAAAGCUGCUUGUGUUUAAAAAUUGUUGUUUUUAAUGGUAAUAUUGAUGAAGUAAUGAUGCAUGUUUUUGAAUUAAUUAUCUCGCAUUCGCUCAUUUUUCUUCUCUUAUAUCAAAAACAAAAAAAAUACAUCAGUGUUUCUCCCAUUCACUUUUCUUUAUCAUAACUUUUGUUUUAGCAAAGAUUUGAGGGAGGAUGACGAAAACAAGAUACCCAUAAUUGCUGACUAUAUGCUUUCAGAUAAAAUCCUGCUGAUGAUGUACAUGCGUUGUUUCAAAUUCUCAAACACUGGAGAGAUAAGGAGUUAAUCCCUAGUCAAACACUUCGAGCCUAGAAGUAGGUGUUUCUUUCGGAUAUACAAACCCUUAUGUUUAACCCGGGGCAUGUAACACCCCGAUAAAAAAUAAGAUAAUUAUUUAAUUUAAGUUAAUAUUAUAUUUAUUAAUUUAAUUAAGUAAUUGGAAUUAUUGGAUUAUUAUUAUUAUAAUUAUUGGAAAGUAUAUAAGUGGGAAAUAAGAAAAGAGUUUUUUUUGGUAAAGAGGGUUUUUUUACGUGAAAAGCAGAGAAACGGCUGAAAAGUGGAGAAAGGGCAAAGAGGAAGAGCAAGAGAGCAAAGGUUGGAGAAUAGAAGAGCUUGAAGCUAAAGACUUGCCGGAUUAAUUCAGGUAAGGGGGGUUUAUCGUCGUUUAAUGGGUAUUAUGGGUUAACAUGUAAUGGGUAGUGAUAAACCGUUGAUUGACCCUAAUUGGGAUUGUUGAAUGCUGAAAAAUUGUGUUGGCUAAGUUGUGUUAAAGCUGUAAUUGAAUCUGUAUUCGAGUGUGUUGUGAUUUUCCGAACGUAGAGCUUUUUACGGAAUUGGAAUCGGAGGUCCGGAAGUCCUCCAACGGCGGAAAAUGCGGAGAAUUCUGCAUUCUGCUUCGUGUUAGCGCAGGAACAGCUUUCUGUCUUGCGUUAACCGGUUAACCCAGGGUGUUAACCGGUUAACACUGUUAUGAAUUGUGAGGUAUUGCUGUUUUGCUUGCGUUAACCGGUUAACCCAGGGCGUUAACCGGUUAACACUGUUGUGAGUUGUGAAAAUAUUGCUGUUCUGUCUGCGUUAACCGGUUAACCCAGGGCGUUAACCGGUUAACACUGUUGAGUUUUGCCAGAAAGCGUGUUCUGUCUGCGUUAACCGGUUAACCCAGGGCGUUAACCGGUUAACACUGUUGGAAACUGAAAAAGAUUGUAUGUUGUCUUGCAUUAACGGAUUAACCCAGGGCGUUACCGGGUUAACGCGGUUGGAAAAGUGAAAAAUCGAAUUUGCUCGGAAUUUAAUGAAAUUCGUCGGGGUGAGUCGGGUAAUAUUAUAGUUAAUUUUGAUGAGUAAUUUUGUUGGGUUUAUGUUAUAAAGUGUCGAUACAAGUAUGACUGAGUUGUUAAGUUGUUCCGGGUACGAAAAGUUGUUAAAGAUACUGAGUUGUAAGCUUGGUGAGCCAAAGUUGAUUAUAAGUUGAUUAUGUUGAAAACAUGGUUGUGUUGCUAUUAUUAUUAUGUUGUCGGAAUUUUAAAUUCGUGUAUGCCAUGUAAAUUCAUAUGCAUUAAGUCGGAGCUUUGCUCACACCAAUGAGAAUUGCUCAGAGUCGUCAGAAGAGUUAUCACGACAAGAGGAGGAAGUCACUUGAGUUUCAAGAGGGAGAUCAUGUGUUUCUUCGUGUUACUCCAAUAACUGGGGUUGGUCGAGCUUUGAAGUCAAAGAAGUUGACACCUCGAUUUAUUGGUCCUUAUCAGAUUUUGGAGAGGAUAGGAGAGGUAGACUAUCGUAUCGCUUUACCGCCGUCACUUGCGAAUUUGCAUGAGGUUUUCCAUGUGUCUCAGUUGAGGAGGUACAUUCCUGAUCCGUCGCAUGUGGUCCAAGUGGAUGAUGUACAGGUGCGAGAUAACCUGACGGUUGAAACAUCACCUAUGAGGAUCGAGGAUCGUGAGUUGAAGCAGUUGCGGGGUAAAGAGAUUGCCUUGGUAAAGGUAGCUUGGGGAGGACCAGCAGGUGGCAAUGUGACUUGGGAACUUGAGAGUCAGAUGAAGGAGUCUUAUCCUGAGUUAUUCUCUUGAGGUAUGUUUUCGAGGACGAAAACUCUUUUAGUGGGGGAGAGUUGUAACACCCCGAUAAAAAAUAAGAUAAUUAUUUAAUUUAAGUUAAUAUUAUAUUUAUUAAUUUAAUUAAGUAAUUGGAAUUAUUGGAUUAUUAUUAUUAUAAUUAUUGGAAAGUAUAUAAGUGGGAGUGCGAGAUAACCUGACGUUGAACCAUCACCUAUGAGGAUCGAGGAUCGGAGUUGAAGCAGUUGCGGGUAAAGAGAUUGCCUUGGUAAGGUAGCUUGGGGAGGACCAGCAGUGGCAAUGUGACUUGAACUUGAGAGUAGAUGAAGAGUCUUAUCCUGAGUUAUUCUCUUGAGGUAUGUUUUCGAGGACGAAACUCUUUAGUGGGGAGAGUUGUAACACCCGAUAAAAAAUAAGAUAAUUAUUUAAAUUAAUUAAUAUAUAUUUAUUAAUUUAAUUAAGUAAUUGGAAUUAUUUGGAUAUUAUUAUUAAUAAUUUUGAAAAGUAUAUAAGUGGGAAAUAAGAAAAAGAGUUUUUUUGUUGGUAAGAAGGGUAUUUUUUACGUGAAAAGCAGAGAAACGACUGAAAAGAGUGGAAAAGGGCAAAGGAGGAAGAGCAAGAAGCAAAGUUGGAGAAUAGAAGAGCCUUGAGCUAAAGACUUGCCGGAUUAAUUCGGUAAAGGGGGGUUUAUCGUCGUUUAUGUAUUAUGGGUUAACAUGUAAUCGGUAGUGAUAACCGUUGAUUGACCCUAAUUGGAUUGGUGAAUGCGAAAACAUUGCUGUUGGCUAAGUUGUGUUAAAGCUGUAAUUUGAAUCUGUAUCGAGUGAUGUUUGUGAUUUUCGCGAAGCGGUAAGCGCUUUACGAAAUUGGAAUGCGGAGGUCCGGAACUCUCCGAACGCGGAAAAUGCGGAGAAUUCUGCAAUUCUGCUUCGUGUUAGGCAGGAACAGUCUUUCGUCUUCGCGUUAACCGGGUUAACCCAGGGUGUUAAGCCGUUAACAAACUGUUCUCCGAAUUGUGAAAAUUGUUGUUUGUGUCUGCGUUAACGCGGUUUACACCCAGGGUGUUAAACCGGUACACUAUUCGUGUGUUUGUGAGAUUGUUGUUCCUGAUGUGGCGUUAACCGUUAACCCAGGGCCGUUAACCGGUUAACACUGUCUGAGUUUUGCCAGAAAGCGUGUUCUUGUCUGGCGUUAACCGGUUAACCGCAGGGCGUUAACCGUUAACACUGUUGGAAACUGAAAAAGAUUGUAUGUUGUCUUGCAUUAAGCGGAUUAACCCAGGGCGUUACCCGGGGUUAAAGCGGUUGGAAAGUGAAAAUCUGAAUUUGCUCGGAAUUUAAUGAAAUUCGUCGGCGUGAGUCGGGUAAGUAUUAUAGUUAAUUUUGAUGAGUAAUUUGUUGGGUUUAUGUAUAAAGUGUCGAUACAAGUUAUGACUGAGUUGUUAAUUGUUCCGGGUACGAAAAGUUGUUCAAGAUACUGAGUUUGUAAGCUUGCGUAGACAAAGUUGAUUAUAGUUGAUUAUGUUGAAAACUGGUUGUGUUGCUAUUAUUAUUGAUGUUGUCGCGAAAUUUUAAAUCGUGUAUUGGCCAUGUAACAUUCAUAAUGCAUUAGAUCGGAGCUUUGGCUCACACACGUUGGCCUGGAUUGGAAAAGUUGAAAGUUGACGGCUUAAGCUUGAUGCCUCGUUAAAUUGGCAAAUUUAAGUUGGGAGUUUUACUCCCGAUUGGUACCACAUGCAUGACGAGUCGAGUCUCAUUUGAGUUGCAUUUUUGUUGGUAUUGAGUAUGAUUUGAGAUUUACAUGUGUUUGCGUUGGUAUUGAGUAUGAUCUUUGAGUUGAUGUGGCCGUACUUGAAUGCGUGAUGUGAUAGGGUGAUUAAUGUGUGAAUUUACUUAGCAUACAUGAUGAUUUAUAAUGCUUAUUAUAUCGAUUGAGGAACUCACCCUUACAACUAUUUUCAGGUACGAGCAGUGAUUGAGUAAAACUAGUGCUUGGAGUCUAGUGUAGUCUCCUUAGUGGGUCAUGGCUCUGAUAGAUGUAACAUCGGGACGGGAUGUUUUACCUUGUUGAAUAUUUACAUGUAAUGUGUUACAUAUUUUGAAUGAUCGAUUUGAUCUCUAUCCGCUGCGUAUUGUGCAAUGUUUUAUGUUUUGAUAUAAUAAAAGAGCAUGACAGUUAUUAUGGUGAAAUGGUUGUGUGACACCCUUAGUUGCAUAUUUACUCUCUGAUUGAUAUAUUGUUAUUAAAUUAAAUAUUUGGGGUAUUUUAGAAGGGUGUUACAAGGGAAGGGUAGUGUUCAAGUUAAUCUGACUAUGCAUUCAAAUUACAAGAAUGAAAUAUCCAGUAUGUGGAUCAACUACAUGCCAUUCUUCCGCACACAUCCUAAAGUGUCGAAGGAACUUGAAAAAUCAAAAGUUAUGACCGGUUGUUCUUCAAUGACCAAUGACUUGGCAGUCACAUUCUAAAAAGGGAAUCCAAUAAAAAGCCUGCUAAGUCGAUUACCCCCAAAAAGAGACUUAGGCAAAACACGGGAAAUCCCGAUGGGCUAAGCUNNNNNNNNNNNNNNNNNNNNNNNNNGGAAAAUACAAAAGUUUCAUUUAGUAAAGAGGGUUUGACCUGAAAAGCAGAAUAAGCGCUGAAAAGGAAAAGGGCAAGAGACAGAGACAAGAGGAAAAGGUGAGAAGAGAAAAGCUGAGAAGCUUAAAGUCAAAAAGCGGUCCAUGCAAAAGUUAGGGAUCAAAACAAAAAUCAAAGGAGGUCACGAAAACCCUCAACAAAAUAAAAACAAGAUUUAGUGACCACCAUAUCAAGAAUCAAAGGGUCACCAAUAUCCUUGAAGAGCAAAAUAAAGUGUCUAUCAUUUCAAGAGAUCUUACACCUGCAAACUCUCUUAAAAGUUGAAUGUGUAUGGUGAAUUAACUGAGCGUAGGACUGGAGUUUAUCAAGAAGAAGGGUGGGUACAGAGACAAUUUUGAGCCUCAUAUCCUUUGUUUUGAUAACCGUGAACCAGGCCAUGUUACAACCCUUAAAAGACCUAAUUGAAGCAAGGUUUAUUCUGAAAGCAUACUACAACAAGGUUGCAUAAACUGACUCCUAAAAAUUUCUAAUCUUUUACUUUGGUACAAUCUUCUUAUUGUAUCCUUCGCAUUGUUAAAUCAUCAUUGUGUUUGGAUUAAAAUGGUUCAUUCACCACACACUAUCACAUCAUUUCAAUAAUAAUUCUUUUCAAAACUUGCAUGAGUAUCGCAUUAAAAUUACCAUUUCUGAACAAACAAUUUUAACUGCAAGACAAUACUUGAUGUCAGGGAAAUUCCAACAAUAAGGAACAAUCAGAGGAACUUGGUGUAACACCUAAAAUUUGCACCCCCCAUUCAUGCAUUCAUUUCAUUUUUAGGUCAUUAACAUUGCAUCUUGCAUUGCAUCAUUGCAUUCAGAACUGGCACCAAGAGAAUUCACCAGUGCAAGAGACCAAGAAUUUCCUUGCUAUGGAGGCCACAUGAAUAUCCUAGAGAGCUUACAUGAAUCAAGAUUCAUUUUGAAGUAACUUGACCAAGUGUCAGAGGCUCAAAGUCAUCAGUGUGUUGCCAAGUCAUCUGGGCCCCAUAAAAGUCAACUGAAAGUCAACUGAAGGCUAGGAGGUGGAGAAAUGGUUUGAGACACUUCAUUCAUGUCCAAGGGAGGCUUAUUCAUCAUGUCAAACACUUAUCUUGAAGGAUUUGAAGCCGGAUCAAAAGUUUCCAAAAAUGGAAAGUGACCUGUAACUAAAAGUUUCCAAAAAUGGCAAGUUUUUGGACCAAUUUCAACUUGACUUUCCAACAUCAAAGAGGCUUCAAAUGAAAUUUUUUCCAACAUGAAAGUUGAAUAUCUUUCUCUCCUAUUUCCAAAAAGUCCAAGAUCAUGAGCAUCUGAUGAAUGGUUAAGGAAUUAUGAUCAAAUGAUUGCAAAGUGUGCUUGAAACUUCAAAGAGCCAUAACUUUUGAUCUAAAACUCCAAAUGGAGUGCCUCUUUUUGCAUUAUGCUCCUCAUGACAUAUAUUUUCCAAAUCAUUCAUUACAUGGCAUGAAAUUUAUUCACAUAAUCAUUUGGCCAUACAUGUGAUUUUUGGAGGGAAAACCAUGAAUUUAAAAUUGGUACAUCAUAUGAGUUUUUUAACCAUUCCAACAUGUGCAUGGGUUGAUUUUAAGAGUAUUUGAAUGGUGCGUGUGCACUGUUCAUGUGGGAUUGCCAUGCAUAAGGUGAAAUUGCAAUUUGGUCAUACACCUCUUUUCUUCCUAAUCUUUCAUUAGCCUUGGCCUAAUGACAAUAUCAGAGUAAUUAGGAGAGCAUAUAAAAGCUUAAUGGUAACUGUUUUAUUCAUUACACACAUAUUUUCAGAUCUAGAAUCCUCUUUUACUCUCAAUUUUCACUCUCUUGAUUUCUCAAAAUUUUGCACACAACACCUUAAUCUUCUUGCAUAAUCAUGAGUAUGGAGUGUUACUGAGCAAGAUUCAACGUGUACUUGGUGGAAUUCAUCUCAAAUUCGUGCAUACCACAAGCUUGAAGGCAUUAAUGGAAGCUCCAAAUUGAGAUUGAUUCAGGUCUUUUCACGUGCUAGUUCUUGCAUCCAACUUCAGUGGAGCUCAAAGGAAGUGAAUCUGGAAAGCUGGGAGCAUUGAGGACACGGUUUUGGUCAUUGCUCUUCAAACAAGGUGAGUUUCGACCUUCAUUUUUCUCUAUUUUAUUGCCAUAGUAUUAUAGAUCUUGGCUCACUGAUCACGCUGAUAUGAACAUUUUUGAAAAUGGUUGAGAAUUGGUUGAGUAAUCUGGAUUUAAAGUUUGAAUGUCAAGAUGUGUUUUCGUUCGAUUUGCAUGAUUCAUAGAGUUUUAAGCCAAAAUAAUGGUGGAUUCUUGUUCUACUCAUCGUGACGGUUCCAACCAUAUGUGUAUUGCCAAUUUCUGCAAAAAAAUUAUGAUGAAGCUACUGUGCAGCCACCGUCUUGUUGAAGAAGACGGUGGAAACCACCUUAGGCCACCGCGUGGGAAUAGUAUGAGCGCCGUCUGGUUAUUCAUGUUAGGGUUUGUCCAGUGGCCUCCACGUGCAGGCCAACGUAGCAAAACCAUUGGCUGAGGCUCGUUGGAUUCGCUCGCGUGGCUGUUGACUAGCUGAGUUGGCACGCCAACUCAUUAAGUGGAGUGAUGCGUUUUGGACGCUCCUCACUUCGAUUCUUGGCUCCGGCAUAUUCCAAUUUUGUUUUCUCCAGCGCCUUACAUUUUCAUAUAUACAUGGUUCGAGUCCUAGUUGUGGCAUUCCAUUUUUUUCUCAUUUUCAUUAACAUUUUCCAUUUCUUUUCAACAUUAUUUCAUUAUUUUCAUGUUAAUUCAAAAAAAUCAUAGAAAAUUGAAAACAAGUCCAAAUUGAAUGCAAUUUUUUGCUACAUGAUCCUUGUGAUGUCUAGUAUUUUUUAAUGUGAUUUUCCUGAUUUUAGCACUUCUAGAUUUUUGAUUGAGCUUGAGUAUUUGAGUAUGGUACAAAAUGUGAUAUGUUAUGCCAUUUGACUUGUGAAAUACUCAUACUUUCUCCAUUUGCCAUGAAAUUUUGUAUGCUGAAUCCUAACACAUAACAUGACUUUUGAGGCUUGGUUGUGCAUUUUUAGCAUUUGUCAUUUCUGUUUUAGGCACAUGAAUUUAGGGUAUGACAAUGUGUGUCACACAUUUGGAUGUUGAUCUUAUUCAUUUUCAUUCCUAGGUCAAUUGAUGUCCUCUGUUUCCAAUUUUUUGCAUGAUGAUUGUGUUUAAUAUGUUGAGCUUGCACAAAAAGUUUCAUGAUUAUUGGAUGGUUUCUGAUUUAAUGUGCAUUUUCUCUUUGAUGCUCAGUGUGACCACCAUUGUGUGCCUUUGCCCUAGCUUGAUUGAUUGAUGGCCUUGCCUUGGAUUUGAGUUUGGUACUUUUAUGACACGUUCUUACUUGAAUAAAUGUGCUUCAUGUGGAAAAUCAACCUCUGUUUUACUUUUUGCUUUGCCUUUGACCCUAUCUUUGAACUAGUGUGUUGUACUCACCUUUUGAGUUUUGCAUUUCAGAUUCAAGCAAUUAGUUCUAAUGGAUGAUGUGAUCUCAUUCCAUGAGAUACAAGUUACUUUGUUAACUAACCUUGCUGUUUUGUAGGUCCUUUGAAUGAUGAACAAUUUGAGUUGCUUGCAUCUUAUGCCUUGCACUGUUGUUGUCUGUUGAUUGGUGGUAACACUGUUGUUGAAUGUUUGGUUGUCUGAAUACCAUAUUGACUUGUUUGACUUUCUUACAGGUACUUUAGUUGCUUUAACUCAUUGCUUGAGUUUGCUUUGCUUUGCUUGUGGUUGGCAUACCACCUAGGUAACCUCUCUAACUUCAUGUAGUCUGGAAGACCUGCUAUCUUUGGCAGGCACCUGUCUGAAGCCCUCCUUAAGAGGCAAUGUUUGUGGUUGUUUAUGUUCGUGUUAUGUACUUCCAAGACCUCCUAAGUGAAGAGGCAUUGGCAGAUAAAAGGGAUGUGCAAUCCAUCCCCUACUAUUCAGUUGAGUCUUUCAUCUUGCUCGCACUACGUGCUGAUGUAUUUUGAAUAAACACCCAAGAUCCUUGUCUAUAGAGUCAGUCAAGUGGAGUAGAGUCCCGCAUUCUGGACUCUCACACCUUCAUUGAUUUGAAGCUCACCCAGACCCGGGUUAAGAGCUAUGAGGUCUUACCCUCAUUACCUUUCAUCUGCUCACCCUGACGGUCAAUGUCAGUGGUUAAGAGCCCUCGGUCACCCCUUCCAGUGUUGGCUUGUUUGUCGAGGUUGAUACGACCCCUUGAAUAAAGCCCAGCCUUGUAUGAGCCACUUGUUUGCAUAUAGCGUGUGUUGCUUGAUUGCUUGUUUACUUAGCAUGUUUGUUUGUUUAUGGAGUCGGAUGUAAGACCAGCGAUUGGCUUUCUGUUUCCCAUCUAUUUUUGGAGUUGGAUGUAAGCCCAGUGAUUGGCAUUCCAUUUCCAGUUUUUGAUCUCUCUUGAGACUUGCUUGUUGUUUCCCCAUAGGUUUGCUAGACUUCGUAUAGUCUCUCGUUUGCAUGUCAAUUAAGGUAGCACGGUUCCUUCGUCUAGGACUUCCUUUCUUGCGUGAGCUUUCCUAAAACACAAACAAACAUUACCUUCCCUUAAGAACACAUUAACUCCUUCUAAUUCAGGUGAGUAAGUCUCCAAAGGUCGAGCAUCCGGUAGAUUGCGUAGUAACGUCGUUCACUUAAAAAACACAAACCAAAUAGAAAUAGUUUAGCCAAACUACGGCAACUCUGAUUCUCAUGUCCAGAUGAGAUACGUAGGCACGAGAUGCGAUGUCUUGUCGAGUUUGACUAACAACUAACUUUGAUCCUUUAUGUUCUCUCGCCCUCGUUGCGAUUGAGACCUUCCCUUUCUCUUGCCCUAGUUGCAAUCGAGACCCUCCUUCUUCUUGUGUGUGCUUGGAGUCUGAUGUAAGUCCAGCGAUUGGAAUUCGGUUUCCUAUUUGCGUUUGUUUGUUCAGAGUCUGAUGUAAGUCCAGCGAUUGGCAUUCGGUUUCCCGGUUGUGUUUGUUUGUUUAGAGUCUGAUGUAAGCCCAACGAUUGGCCUUCGGUUUCCAAUUUGUUUGUGUGAGUUCGGAGUCAGAUGUAAGACCAUUGAUUGGCUAUCUAUUUCCUAUUUCUUUUGUGGAGUCGGAUGUAAGCCCAGCGAUUGGCAUUCCGUUUCCAGUUUGUGUUUGGGUGUUUGCUCUGACGUCUCAGCGUCUCCGUUUAGCGUUUUGUUUGGCGUGCGUUAGCCGAGCUACGAGUGCUCUGAUUCUUCCUCUGGUUAGAGAAGAUAUGUAUGCAUAGGAUGCGAUAGUGUUUGGGUGUUUGCUCUGACGUCUCAGCGUCUCCGUUUAGCGUUUUGUUUGGCGUGCGUUAGCCGAGCUACGAGUGCUCUGAUUCUUCCUCUGGUUAGAGAAGAUAUGUAUGCAUAGGAUGCGAUGUCCUAGCGAGCACGUUUCCCGUAUCCCCGAACUACGUCGACUCUGAUGUUUGUGUCCGACAAACUACGUAGGCCCAGGAUGCGACAUCCUGCCGAGUCCGCUUUCUCCGUCUUCCUUCACUCCGUGUUUUAUUCCGGUUUUGUGCAGUUUUGAGCAGUUAUCUAGCAACCUUAUUCUAUUCUUUUUGAGCGUGGAUCCCGUCGAGUACGACGGACGUGAGGGGGUGCUAAUACCUUCCCCUUGCGUAACCGACUCCCGAUCCUUGCAACCUCUGGUCGUAAGACCAUUUCCUUUCCAGGUUUACUUCGAGCGUUUCCUUUCCCUCCUUUGGGAUAAAUAACGCAUGGUGGCGGCUCUGUGUCUUUUUUCCCGCCGGUUUUUCGCGUAAUGCGACACUUGGACAUUCGUUGGUGCUGACCCGAAUCAAGACUACCUCACAACCUAUGAAUCCGAGACAUGCAACCUAAACAUCAGUUGGUCAUAGGAAGAUUACUCCAAGAAUUGGUCAGCUUGAAACAGUCCCCUAACAUCUGUUAAUAAAUGUGCAAAUCGUUUCAAGAAUCAGUUGAUCCAGAGCAAAUCAUCUCAGGACUCUAUUAACUAGAGGCAGACCACCUAGAGGUUUUGUGGGCCAGGGGCAGACCCCUUCAAUGUUCAGUCAAGGUGAGUUAAGUCGCUUCAACGCUCAUAUUGGGGAAAGCUACCUCAAAAGUAUAGAAAAGUAAACCACUCUGAGAGUCGGUUAAUCAAAGAAAAAUAUUUUCAUGACUUUAAAUUUUGGGGCAAGCCGUCUCCAAAUUAUGGUACAAUUGCUUUCAGAAUCCUUUCGAGGUAAACAUUUUGCAUAGACCCAUCACAUUGGGGCAAGAUGAGCCAUACAGGAGCGAGUCCUCUCCAUGUUUCAAGCAGUUCAAGCAAAAGCUUUUUCGCAAAUCAGCAAAUGCAGAGUUCAAGAUGAGUGUCGAGGAAUCAUGCUAUCACCCCCAUCCAAUAACCUUUUGGCAGCCAAAAGCCUUUCUAUAAAGAACCUUCUCUUCCAAUAUCCAUGCAGGGGCAUUUUGAAAGCCUUCAAAUCAUUGCAUAAAGCAUCCUCAUGCAUUAGUCAUGUCACUUUACUCUAAGAUAAAACCAUGCAUAUCAUAAAAUUCAUCGAGUCUAACCCCAUAACAUGAACCUGGCAUCAAAAAGCCUUGAAACACAAAAUUUGACACCAAAGCCCAACAUCGCUUGGCCAUUUCAAAGUCCAGUUCUCAUCUGGCAAUUUAUUUCAAAAACCAGUUCCCAUCUGGCAACUUUAUUUCAAAGUCCAAUUCCUGUCUGACAACUUAUUUCAAAAGCCUAGUUCCCGUCUGGCAAACCUUUUAAAAAAAACCAGUUCCCUUCUGGCAAUUUAUUUCAAAGCCCAGUUCUCGUCUGACAAUUUAUUUCAAAGUCCAGUUCUCGUCUGGCAACUUAUUCCAAAGUCCAGUUCCCGUCUAGAAAACUAUAUCAAAAAUCAGUUCUUGUACGACAAAUCAUUUGCCAAAUACUAGUUCUCGUCUGGUAAAUUAUCUCUUAAUAUCAGUUCUCGUCUGGUAAAUUAUCUCUUAAUACCAGUUCUCGUAUGGUAAAUUAUCUCUUAAUACCAGUUCUCGUCUGGUAAAUUAUCUCUUAAUAUCAGUUCUCAUCUGGUAAAUUAUCUCUUAAUACCAGUUCUCGUCUGGUAAAUUAUCUCUUAAUACCAGUUCUCGUCUGGUAAAUUAUCUCUUAAUACCAGUUCUCGUCUGGUAAAUUAUCUCUUAAUACCAGUUCUCGUCUGGUAAAUUAUCUCUUAAUACCAGUUCUCGUCUGGUAGGUCACCUAUUUCGAUACCAGUUCUCGUCUGGUAGUCAAUUAUUUCCACCAGUUCUCGUCUGGUAGCCUACUUUAAAAAUCAGUCCAUGUCUGAUAAACAAAAACAAAUUCGGUCUCGUCUGACAUUUCAAUUAUUUUCACCAGUUCGCGUCUGGUAACAUAUCCUUCAAGUGUUGUCCUCAUCUGGCAGUUCAAUCUCCUUCACCAGUUCUCAUUUGUCAGUUCCCAUUUAAAGUCCAACCUCAUUGGCAAUCAAGAAUUAAACCCUACAAAAACAUCCAAUUACCCAGUUGCAUUCCCACAUGCAUCACACGAAUCAUCCAUAAAUGGUUUUCCUACCAAACAAAAAAUUCAAAAAAACACAGUCAUAUCAAUCAUCAGCAUACUUAUGCAUAACCUUAUACAUCAAAAAAAUCAUUUACAUUCUCAUACACAGCCAAAUAUCCCCAGCAAUUGCAUACUUACAUGCAUCUCAUGCAUCAUUCCAUGCAUGGUAUUCCCACCCAAAGUGGAACAUCGACAAAACUUAAGAUAUCAGGAUCCAGGGUCAUUCAUGUAUAUCUUAUACAUUCCUCAUUUCCAAAUAAAGUUAUUACCCUGCAUGUGCUCGUGGAGUCAUUUUCCAGUAAGCCGUUUUUUCAACUUUAUGAUUGAUAAUGAUAUUCCCAGCAUUUUUCUUUACAAUCAUUGCUCCCCAAGCAGAGGUUACCCUAAAAAGUCUCUUAUGAGCUUUUUCCCCUGCAGAGCAUUUCUAGUAAAUCUCCCUCAAAAGGAGUCUUUUCAAAAAAUUCCCCGAACAGACGAAUAUUCGAGAUAUUGCUUCAUUUAUCUGGAGAAUCUCAUUUUUUCUGUUUGAGAUGCUGCUUCAUCAAUAUGAAGAGUCUCAUUUCAGAUUUUUUUAGAGAUACUGCUCUAAUAUCCUCGGAGAGUCUUAGAUUCAAUUAAGGUAUCUUUCCCUUGCUGGAAUAUCUUAAUAGUCUCAUUUCAGAUUUUUUUAGAGAUACUGCUCUAAUAUCCUCGGAGAGUCUUAGAUUCAAUUAAGGUAUCUUUCCCUUGCUGGAAUAUCUUAAUUCUAUCAUAUAAGAUGCUGUUUCGACUCGAUAUAGAGAACCUCACUUUUACUGUUUGAGAUGCUGCUUCAUCAAUAUGAAGAGUCUCAUUUCAGAUUUUUUAGAGAUACUGCUCUAAUAUCCUCGGAGAGUCUUAGAUUCAAUUAAGAUAUUUUUUCCCUUGCUGGAACAUCUUAAUUCUAUCAUAUAAGAUGCUGUUUCGACUCGAUAUAGAGAAUCUCACUUUUACAAUUUGAGAUGCUGCUUCAUCAAUAUGAAGAGUCUCAUUUCAGAUUUUUUUUAGAGAUACUGCUCUAAGUAUCCUCGGAGAGUCUUAGAUUCAAUUAAGGUAUUUUUUUUCCCUUGCUGGAAUAUCUUAAUUCUAUCAUAUAAGAUGAUGUUUCAACUCGAUACAAAGAAUCUCAUUUUUACUAUUUGAGACGCUGCUUCAUCAAUAUGAAGAGUCUCAUUUCAGAUUUUUUUAGAGAUACUGCUCUAAUAUCCUCGGAGAGUCUUAGAUUCAAUUAAGAUAUUUUUCCCUUGCUGGAACAUCUUAAUUAUAUCAUAUAAGAUGUUGUUUCGACUCGAUACAGAGAAUCUCACUUUUACUGUUUGAGAUGCUGCUUCAUCAAUAUGAAGAGUCUCAUUUCAGAUUUUUUUUAGAGAUACUGCUCUAAGUAUCCUCGGAGAGUCUUAGAUUCAAUUAAGGUAUUUUUUUCCUUGCUGGAAUAUCUUAAUUCUAUCAUAUAAGAUGUUGUUUCGACUCGAUAGAGAGAAUCUCAUUUUUACUGUUUGAGAUACUGGUUCAUCAAUUUGAAGAGUCUCAUUUCAGAUUUUUUUAGAGAUACUGCUCUAGUAUACUUGAAGAGUCUUAGAUUCAAUUAAGGUAUCAUUCCCUUGUUCAGAAUAUCUUAAUUCUAUCAUAUAAGAUGCUGCUUCGAUUCGAUACAGAGAAUCUCAUUUUGUUGUUCGAGGUGUUGCUUCAUCAAUAUGAAGAGUCUCAUUCAUUUUUAGAGAUACUGCUUUAGUAUCCUUGAAGAGUCUUAGAUACGAUUGAGGUAUCAUUCCCUUGUCAGAAUAUCUCGAUUAUAUCAUAUGGGAUACUGCUUCAUUGAUACCUAGAAAAUCUCAUGUGUUCAAAUCAAGACGCUGUUCUGCUAAUGCUUGGAAAGUCUUAGGUACAGUUGAGGUAUCAUUCCAUUGUUGAAAAAUCUCAGCCGUGAUAUCCAAGAUACUGUUCUGACGAUUCCCAGAGAGUCUUAACUAUUUCAUUUUACCUUCUGAUAACCUUUUCUUACUGUAUUUCUCACUGCAUUUUGUGUCUGCAUUUCUUCCUUGCUUUUCAAAGGACAAAAUUUGGGUCUUUUCAUAUUUAAUUACCUUCUUCCACUACGAAUGUAUGAAGACUGUUGUCAUUCUUACCUUCUAGUUCAAGAUAAUGAAAUAGGGGCAGCUGUCAUACCCCAAUUUUGUUCGGGCAUUUUAAAUUUUCAUAAAUUCGAUUUAAUUUUCAGUUUACAUCAUAUGUACAGCAUAACAUGCAUUUUAUCAUUAAUAAUACCUGAAAUAUCAGUCAAUUUUCAUAAAUUCGAUUUAAUUUUCAGUUUACAUCAUAUGUACAGCAUAACAUGCAUUUUAUCAUUAAUAAUACCUGAAAUAUCAGUCAGGAUAAAUUUAUUGAAAAUACAGACAAAUCAGUUGAAUCUUUCCUCAAGUACGGACAAAAUCAGCAGAUAAAAAGUUUCAAAUUUAAAAUUGCAGACACCAGUAUUAUUAACCUACGGUUCAUGUAGUUUAAACUAGUGUCCCCGUUAUAUUUUUCAGCGACUGUUUCGGUUGCAUUUUGACCCGCCGGACACUUUUAACCGGUGCAAAUCUAUUUCAAAAUUUAACGAAAUGCUGUAUUUUUUUAAUAAGUAUAUUUUGUGCUGAUCAUUUUAGUGUGCCCGAUUUAAUUUUUCGAGCAAAUUUAUAUUUGGUCCCUAUUUAUAAUCGGUCACUAUUUUUUUGGUUUAGUUAUUUAAUUAAAGUAAUCAGAAUUUUUUUAAAAUCAAAUAUUGAUUAGAAAUUUUAUAUAUUUCCUUAAAUAAAUAAUAAUUGUUUGAAAAUAAAUAAAUAUCAACAUUGGAUUCCUAUCUUCUUUUUACAGCUCAUGUCUCUCUCAUCACUCUCCCUCACGUUUCCUAUCUCUCUCACGUUUCCUCUCUCUCACACAUUACCCUCAUUUCCAUCAUCACUCUCCAUCAACGUCUAUCUGCUACAAUAGAAAGCAAAUGAAAAGAAAAAGACUGACUGCUCUCUCUCUCAAAAAGAAGAAAAAGAAAACUAAAAAGAGAGGACAAUAAAAAGAAUCCCCACUCCCUUUCCUCAACAACUCCCUCGCCACUACAACCGCCGGCAAACCCAACCUCCACAACAUCACUCCACUACAUCCAUACAACCUUCACGCACAGUUCCAUCUUCAAACCUCCAUCACCCUCACAACCACCUCCUUUGCUCACUUCCCUCCCUCCACCUUCCAUUGACGUCACGAAUUCCAUCACCUUCUUCAACGUCUUCUCCCCACUCAUCCACCAC